This 2123-nucleotide long non-coding RNA is filed under the name Homo sapiens (human). RNAcentral's name for it is "HSALNT0399922". The record is from RNAcentral. Lineage: Eukaryota; Metazoa; Chordata; Mammalia; Primates; Hominidae.
CCCGAGCCCCUGGAGCUGGCGGCCGCGGACUGCGUCCCUGGGGACACUGGAGGGGACUCCAGGGACAGCGUGGGUGGGCCUUUCCCCCGCACGCGCCUCUGUCACUCUCUUUCCGGGCCAGAGCCGGGGCAGCGCUCUAAAUUAAGGUCGACCUCCAGCGCUGGGUGAAGUCUUGAGUCCGCCCGGGAGCCCUAGAAGAGACUGGGGCAGCAUGAAUGUGCUGGAAGAUUAGAGGCUGCUGAUGCUGAAGGAAGGAGAAACGAGGAGGAAGUGUCCCUGUGGACAAGUCAUCUCCCUUCAUUUAAGCCAGGCCAGUAGUCCGGGAGACAUUCUGAAUGAUGCAUUAUCCUAGGCACCAGAAAGUAUCUAACAUUCUCAUGGACAGCAGGGAAAAAUGAGCACAUGAGACAGGGGAAGAUUCCAGCACCUGUGAACAUGUUUGUGCAGGUUUCCAGUCAGUACAUGGAUAUCCCUCAAGCCUUUGAAUCCAGUCUCCUGUGUUGUGAUUGGACCGUUUGUCAUUAGGUUUCCAGUGGCAGAGUAAUGCUGUGGGAGAACUGGCUACGAUGGCCGCAGGAGGUGAAUUAAGUAUUGUUGUGUUUUUAGUAGAACCACUAAAGGAAGAUCUGCAGGCAAGUUGGAUGAGUAUAAGAGCCAAAGAUUGACAAGACUUCCUCAGAUGCUCCUACUGACCAGUGGGGGCACUUCUACAGCUCCCCGAAUAUGUUCUCCCUGCAACCCCCACCACUUUUUAAUUAAAUGGCCAGAACUGCCUUUUUGUAUCAAAACUUAUUUUAGUCUAUCAAUCAAAGGCUUCUAUAGCCCACCUCAUGGCAAAGGAUAUCAGAGAGGUAAAAGAUAAUUGUUUUGACAUAUUUAUUAUCACAACUAGCGACUCUUUCUGCAUUCACAUUGGCUGGUAUGCAGAAAAGGGUGCUUUACAGGAUUCUUGGAAAUGUGUAGUGGAUGCUGGCUCUAGGGGAGGCAGAAUAGAGUGUGGGUUCUGCCAUGGGUCACAUCCGGGUUUUAAUUCUGCCUCUGCCACAUGACCUUGAGCACACUGGAAAACCCUAUUAGAUGUGCAAGAAGGCUUCCCCAUCUGUAAAGGUGGGUGACUUAGCAACUUUAGCAAUGCUUAAGUCACCCGGUUGUUGUGAGUAAUACAUAAGUUAAUGUAUGCUAACUUUCUAGAAAGUUUCCUGGCACAAAGUUGUAUUUAAUAAAUGAUUUUUAAAACAAGCUCUUUUUUGGGGGUUAGUUGCCAUCUGAUCAUCUAAUCACACCACUGUUCUUGUAGACUGUGUGUAUGCAUUUUCUAUUCAGCAUCAGAAAAUAUACAUAGAAGCCUGCAACUCCUAAAGAUCGGGAAGAAAUCCAGAGGAUCUAGGAAGACUGGCCAUUCUGUUAAUUGAAAAGAAUCUUUUGGUGCCAAUUUGAGGGAUUCAUAAAGAAGAUGAGCCAUUUAAGCCAUAACAGAGAGGAAUUAUCUUUAAUCAUUGAAAUAACAGAUGAUCUGGUUAUAACAAUUGGCAGAAGCUCCUGGAUGUGGCUCUCCCUUCUACCUAGGGCAUUCAACCUCAAAGUGCCUACCGCCUGGGCAUUCCCACUGCUGCAUCAUUACAAUUUCUUGUAAAUUUGUAAAGAAGCCCCUUUCCUUUUGGAUGACUCCUAGUUAUUGAAAGUUACCCUUUUUGUCCUUCUCUGAGUUCCAACCACACUGAGACUUGAUCGUCAGAUACGAAUGUUGGUAAACACUCCUUUUUGUUCCAUCUUUAUCCCUUGAUCAAGCUUCUCGUGCAAUAGUACCCCCCGAAAUAAACCAAGAGUAAUCCUUCCAAUCACCUCUUUCUCUUCCAAAGGGUAUUUAUUGGUUGAUAAUAGUACAGAAUAGUACAGAAUUAGCAGAGUCCUUGAACACUGGGUGGAGUAAACAUCUCCUGAUGGACUCUUUAAUUGAGUUGAAGCACCCUGACGAGGGGGUCUUAAUCAGCCUUUUCCAGUUAUUAAUAGUGAUUUGUCAGAAAGCCAAAACUAAGGGAUUUUGGAAAGAACCAAAAGAACUCAGUAUCUUUACAAAACUCCUCUCUCAAAAUUGGAAAGAGAAAAAAAAUACCUGGAAAAAA